GACGAACGCUGGCGGCGUGCCUAACACAUGCAAGUCGUACGGGACUUGGGGGCAACUCCAAGUUCAGUGGCAGACGGGUGCGUAACACGUGAAGAACUUGUCCGGUGGCGGGGGAUAGCCGGCCCAACGGCCGGGUAAUACCGCAUACGAUCGCGCGGGGGCAUCUCUGCGCGAGGAAAGCAGCCGCAAGGUUGCGCCGACGGAGAGCUUCGCGGCCUAUCAGCUAGUUGGCGGGGUAAUGGCCCACCAAGGCGACGACGGGUAGCUGGU
Molecule: ribosomal RNA, 270 nt
Filed under: uncultured bacterium
Lineage: Bacteria
Description: partial 16S ribosomal RNA
Rfam family: Bacterial small subunit ribosomal RNA
Source: RNAcentral